RNAcentral lists this ribosomal RNA (253 nucleotides) under uncultured bacterium. RNAcentral describes it as "partial 16S ribosomal RNA". It matches the Rfam family "Bacterial small subunit ribosomal RNA", at positions 524 to 776 of the family's 1533-position model. The record is from RNAcentral.
UACAGAGGGUGCAAGCGUUGUUCGGAAUUAUUGGGCGUAAAGCGCGCGCAGGCGGUCCUUUAAGUCUGAUGUGAAAGCCCACGGCUCAACCGUGGAGGGUCAUUGGAAACUGAGGGACUUGAGUACAGGAGAGAAAAGUGGAAUUCCACGUGUAGCGGUGAAAUGCGUAGAGAUGUGGAGGAACACCAGUGGCGAAGGCGACUUUUUGGCCUGUAACUGACGCUGAGGCGCGAAAGCGUGGGGAGCAAACAGG